AAAAUAGCAAGAUGAACUAAACGUGUUUUUCGGAGUUCAACUUCUCGAGUAAAAUCCCUUUGUUAUUUGUGAACUUUUCUUAGUUUUCACCUCCUGCAUCUCCACGCUGAGACUGAGAAGAGCGCGCGAUCAUGCCAACAGAUCACCACGCUACCAUUCUCGUCUUUAAUCUUGUAUCCUUCACAACUAUAGCUCUGCAACAAUCUCCUUGCUUGCAACAUCGCGUAAUAACUCAAAGGCACGUUCAU
RNAcentral lists this unclassified non-coding RNA (248 nucleotides) under Hevea brasiliensis (rubber tree). Lineage: Eukaryota; Viridiplantae; Streptophyta; Magnoliopsida; Malpighiales; Euphorbiaceae. The record is from RNAcentral.